This 335-nucleotide unclassified non-coding RNA is filed under the name soil metagenome. RNAcentral describes it as "partial contains 5.8S ribosomal RNA, internal transcribed spacer 2, and large subunit ribosomal RNA". The stretch from base 1 to 120 matches the Rfam family "5.8S ribosomal RNA", at positions 35 to 154 of the family's 154-position model. The record is from RNAcentral.
GAUGAAGAACGCAGCGAAAUGCGAUAAGUAGUGUGAAUUGCAGAAUUCAGUGAAUCAUCGAAUCUUUGAACGCACAUUGCGCCCUUUGGUAUUCCUUAGGGCAUGCCUGUUCGAGCGUCAUUUAAACCUUCAAGCCCUGCUUGGUGUUGGGUGCCUGUCCCGCCCCCGCGCGUGGACUCACCUCAAAUCCAUUGGCGGCCCCCGCAAGGCCACGAGCGCAGCAGAAACGCAAACUCGUGUGCCCGGCGGGCGGCUCCCAGAAGCUACACCCACCAUUUUGUCCUCGGAUCAGGUAGGGAUACCCGCUGAACUUAAGCAUAUCAAUAAGCGGAGGA